This 2139-nucleotide ribosomal RNA is filed under the name Plasmodium falciparum 377.1. Its description in RNAcentral is "SSU rRNA". It matches the Rfam family "Eukaryotic small subunit ribosomal RNA". The record is from RNAcentral. Lineage: Eukaryota; Apicomplexa; Aconoidasida; Haemosporida; Plasmodiidae.
CCUGGUUGAUCUUGCCAGUAGUCAUAUGCUUGUCUCACAGAUUAAGCCAUGCAAGUGAAAGUACAUAUGUAAAUAAUAUAUUGAAACUGCGAACGGCUCAUUAAAACAGUUAUAAUCUACUUGAUGUUUUUAAUAUAAGGAUAACUACGGAAAAUCUGUAGCUAAUACUUGUGAAAAUACCUUUUGAUAUAUACAUAUGUAUGUAUCAUUAAGGUAUGUAUUUGUUAGAUAUAAGAAUAAAAUAAAUAUAAUUGAAUUAUAACAAAGAAGAAACACAUAAAAUAUGUGUAUUAUCAAUCGAGUAUCUGACCUAUCAGCUUUUGAUGUUAGGGUAUUGACCUAACAUGGCUAUGACGGGUAACGGGGAAUUAGAGUUCGAUUCCGGAGAGGGAGCCUGAGAAAUAGCUACCACAUCUAAGGAAGGCAGCAGGCGCGUAAAUUACCCAAUUCUAAAAAAGAGAGGUAGUGACAAGAAAUAACAAUACAAUAUCGAAAAAUGAUUUUGUAAUUGGAAUGAUAGGAAUUUACAAGGUUCCUAGAGAAACAAUUGGAGGGCAAGUCUGGUGCCAGCAGCCGCGGUAAUUCCAGCUCCAAUAGCAUAUAUUAAAAUUGUUGCAGUUAAAACGUUCGUAGUUGAAUAUUAAAGAAUCCGAUGUUUCAUUUAAACUGGUUUGGGAAAACCAAAUAUAUUAUAUAUUUUGCUUUGUUCAAAAUAAGGUUUUCUAAUAAAUUAUGUUUUUAUCAGAUAUGACAGAAUCUUUUUUAAAAUCUCUUCAAUAUGCUUUUAUUGCUUUUGAGAGGUUUUGUUACUUUGAGUAAAAUUAAGUGUUCAUAACAGACGGGUAGUCAUGAUUGAGUUCAUUGUGUUUGAAUACUACAGCAUGGAAUAACAAAUAUGAAUAAGCUAAUUAUUUUUUUUUUUCAUAAUUUUUUUGAUAUUCUUAUUAGCUUAGUUACGAUUAAUAGGAGUAGCUUUGGGGGCAUUCGUAUUCAGAUGUCAGAGGUGAAAUUCUAAGAUUUUCUGGAGACGGACUACUGCGAAAGCAUUUGCCUAAUCUAUUUCCAUUAAUCAAGAACGAAAGUUAAGGGAGUGAAGACGAUCAGAUACCGUCGUAAUCUUAACCAUAAACUAUACCGACUAGGUGUUGGAUGAAUAUAAAAAAUAUAUAAAUAUGUAGCAUUUCUUAGGGAAUGUUGAUUUUAUAUUAGAAUUGCUUCCUUCAGUACCUUAUGAGAAAUCAAAGUCUUUGGGUUCUGGGGCGAGUAUUCGCGCAAGCGAGAAAGUUAAAAGAAUUGACGGAAGGGCACCACCAGGCGUGGAGCUUGCGGCUUAAUUUGACUCAACACGGGAAAACUCACUAGUUUAAGACAAGAGUAGGAUUGACAGAUUAAUAGCUCUUUCUUGAUUUCUUGGAUGGUGAUGCAUGGCCGUUUUUAGUUCGUGAAUAUGAUUUGUCUGGUUAAUUCCGAUAACGAACGAGAUCUUAACCUGCUAAUUAGCGGUAAGUACACUAUAUUUUUAUUUGAAAUUGAAUAUAGGUAAUUAUACAUGUUUAUUCAGUGUUCAAAUUAGGAUAUUUUUUUAUUAAAAUAUUCUUUUCCCUGUUCUACUAUAAUAAUUUGUUUUUUUUUACUCUAUUUCUCUCUUCUUUUAAGAAUGUACUUGUUUGAUUAAAUAAAGCUUCUUAGAGGAACAGUGUGUAUCUAACACAAGGAAGUUUAAGGCAACAACAGGUCUGUGAUGUCCUUAGAUAAACUAGGCUGCACGCGUGCUACAAUGAUAUAUAUAACAAGUUGUUAAAAAUGUACUUAUAAAUAAGUGUGUACAGUUUUUCCUGUACUGAAAAGUAUAGGUAAUCUUUAUCAGUAUAUAUCGUAAUUGGGAUAGAUUAUUGCAAUUAUUAAUCUUGAACGAGGAAUGCCUAGUAAGCAUGAUUCAUUAGAUUGUGCUGACUACGUCCCUGCCCUUUGUACACACCGCCCGUCGCUCCUACCGAUUGAAAGAUAUGAUGAAUUGUUUGGAUAUGAAUUAAAAUAAUGAAAUUUUAUAUUUCUGAUUUUUUCUAGAAGAACUGUAAAUCCUAUCUUUUAAAGGAAGGAGAAGUCGUAACAAGGUUUCCGUAGGUGAACCUGCGGAAG